UAGCCUGCCCACUGAAUUAUUUUUAAAGGGCCGCGGUAUACUGACCGUGCGAAGGUAGCAUAAUCAUUAGUCUUUUAAUUGAAGGCUUGUAUGAAUGGUUGGACAAAAAGUAAUCUGUCUCAAUUGUAAUAGUUGAACUUAACUUUUAAGUGAAAAGGCUUAAAUACUUUAAGGGGACGAUAAGACCCUAUAAAACUUGACAAUAAAUUAGUUAAAUUAUAAAUUGUUAGUAUAACUUGAUCUUAAUUAAUGUUUGUUGCGUUGGGGCGACGGGAAUAUAAUUAGUAACUGUUCUUAAAUACUUAUUAACAAGUAUAAUUGAAAAAUAAUUGAUCCUUUAUUAAAGAUUAAAAGAUUAAGUUACUUUAGGGAUAACAGCGUAAUCUUCUUUGAGAAGUCCUCAUCGACAAGAAGGUUUGCGACCUCGAUGUUGAAUUGAGGUAUCCUUAUAAUGCAGCAGUUAUAAAGGA
RNAcentral lists this ribosomal RNA (470 nucleotides) under Penaeus monodon (black tiger shrimp). Its description in RNAcentral is "partial 16S ribosomal RNA". It matches the Rfam family "Bacterial large subunit ribosomal RNA", at positions 1855 to 2571 of the family's 2925-position model. The record is from RNAcentral. Lineage: Eukaryota; Metazoa; Arthropoda; Malacostraca; Decapoda; Penaeidae.